UUUGAGGUUGUGAAGUAUGUGAGUUAACGGAGGAGACGAACUGCGAGGAGAGAAAUGGAAGAUUCACCGAGCAGAUAACCACAAAGUAGGGAGAAGAGAAGUGUAGUAGAUGUGGAUAAACAUGUUGACGAUCUGAAGUUCAAGACCACCGAGUUGAGACUCGGUUUCCCGGAUCCGAGUCACCCAAGUGAGCAUCCAAAUGAUUAUGAUCCUUCUUGUUGAUCUUGAAUUGAUUUUGUUUCAUCCUCUUCGUUUUUAAAAGAUUCUUUUAAGUAUGCAGCUA
RNAcentral lists this long non-coding RNA (283 nucleotides) under Brassica napus (rape). Its description in RNAcentral is "long non-coding RNA (BNAP_LNC000673)". Lineage: Eukaryota; Viridiplantae; Streptophyta; Magnoliopsida; Brassicales; Brassicaceae. The record is from RNAcentral.